Cebus imitator (Panamanian white-faced capuchin) is the source of this 2315-nucleotide RNA transcript. It is a transcript of the gene named 39S ribosomal protein L50, mitochondrial-like, with no coding region annotated. The transcript has a single exon. The record is from RefSeq and is a predicted model, not a curated record. NCBI's taxonomy places the organism in Eukaryota, Metazoa, Chordata, Mammalia, Primates, Cebidae.
CAAAGUGCUGGGGUUACAGGAAUGAGCCAUCCACCAUGCCCAGCCUUGUUUACAUUUUGAAUUAAGUGACCGGGUGGAGGCAUUCCAUCCUGCAGCACUCUCAGCCUCAGGACGAGGAGGAAUGGGAAGAGAGGGAGCUGGGAGGAGAAAGUGAACAGGAUCGGAGAUUCUGUGUUUCUCAACACAACAUCUUCCCUCAGCUUUGCAAAGGGAAGAGCUGGAUUUGAAUCCUGGCCCAUCCAACUUCUGGCCAGGAGUUGUUGAGAAGAUUACCCACAACCUCACAGAAACUUGGUUUCCUCAGCUAAAAAUUAAUAUAAUAAAAUCUCCUUACCUUAAGCUUUGCAAAGGCUCAAGGAAGUAUAAAUUGCUUCUCAGUAGUUACUAGGCAGUUAUCAUUAUGUAAAGUACAGCUCCCACUUUGAGCAGAGGGCAUAGACCAGUAGAUGCUAUUCUGAAUAACCCACUCCAGCAAGGCUCCAACGGAAGGAAGUAAUUAUACAGUAUUAGAUUUGAAUGUAAGUCCUCUCUGGCCCUAGGGUCCUUUUCUACCAGAAAUGUGCAUCUUCUAAAACAGUGCCAUAUGUUGGAGGAGAAUGGGAACAAAUAAGUGUAGUUGCCAGUGCAUUUGGAUCAUUCGAGGAGUGUUUUCAAUUUUUUAGUAGAAAAAAUGCUAAUAAGCUUAGAAAAUGUCCCCAUUCUUCUAGGCCUCAAAGCAUACUGAAGUCAUCAUUUGUUACAUAUUUACUAAGCAUCUACUCUGCGUCAGACAUUGUGCUAGGGAAGAUAGACAUGGCCCCUUCCCUCAACGAUACCUCGAUGUUGAUUUAUACUUUAAACAAAGAGUUACACAAAUAAGUAUACAAUCCAAAUGGUGAUCAGUGCUAUGAAGGAGGAAGUCAGGAUGUAUGAGGGCCUGAAAUAUAGAAAACUAUGUGAGCUUUACCUUUCUGAGAUAACUCUCCCUACUCCUCCAUGCAGGAAAAGGAUUUCUUGUGAAAAGCAAUGGUAGAAAAGCAAUCCAAGGAAGCAAAAUGAAAGCCAGCGUGAGUUAGAAAGGAGCGGCAGGUAUAUGAUGUUCUGGAUUGGACUCUCCUUCAUUCCUCGUCAAUGAAGUGGCUCAGGAGCCAGUGUUUAUUUUGCUGACUAAUUGGCUUUUGAGCCACGAAGUAGUGUCCUCCUCAGACUUAUGACUCUUUCCCAAGUGAAGACUUGGGUGGCUUAAGCAUCAUGGAUAUUAGCAGGCGGGAAUGAAGAGGGUCCACUUGAAGUAUAAGAGUCAGCACCAAGGCCCGUGGAUCUCAUGGAAGAUGGCGGCACAAUCUGUGUCUGGCGUUAUCAGAAGCGUCUUCACGUGCACAGUCUCAGGGGCACCAGGUAGAGAAUUUUGGUCUCGAUUCGGAAAAGAGAAAGAGCCCGUGGUUGCUGAGACAGUAGAAGAGGUGAAAAAGGAGCCUAUCCCAGCGUGUCUACCCUUACAAAGCCGAGCAUAGCAUACGCACCACCUGAAGAUCUGCAGAACCGUUUGAAAUCUUAUGUUGAAGUUUUUGGUUCAUCUCCUCCUAGACGUUGACAUCUCCCUGGAAGAUGGUCAUCUAAAGUUCAAUCUCUUGGAAUAUUUAGCUGAUGGUUGGGUCAUAUAGUCCCUAACUCCAGACUCUACCAGAUGCGCAGGAUUAGAGAUGUUCUUGAUUUCCAUAAUAUCCCUAUUCAAGAUAGAUCUAAAUUUAAUGAACUCAGUGCCAGUAAUCUGCCCCCUAGUUUGAAAAUCACUUGGAGUUACUAAGCAAUUUGGAAGAGAAACACAUUGCAAUCAUUUUUUUUUUUCUCUGAGCAAGGGGGCUGCUUAUUAGACCUUUUCAUACUUUACCGUGUGAAAUACUACCAGAACUGUUCUCUAAACCCACUUUUUCUGUAGAGGAAUGUAUCAUCUCUUUUCUUUUCUCUCUCUCAUAUUAUAAAUGGACAAAUAACAGGACUUUCUAUUUUCAUAUUUGCUGAAACCAUUUUUUAAAUGAAAUUAGGUCAUUAAUAAUUUAUGAAAAAUUCUGAGAGGACACUGCCAUUAACUUGGGUUUAAGACAGGAGGACACUGCAAGUUUACACCCUUCGUAGGCAUAAAGUAGCAGUUGCAAGAAAAUAUAUGUUCAUCCUGUUGGGACUCAUAUCUAAGCUAGAGUUUUUAUUAUGCAUUGCACAUAUACAAAUAAACUUGUAUUAGAUAGAUACCUAAAAAAGAAACGUAAAUUUAUGUUGUGUAUUACUGACCGUUCUAGAUUAAUUUCUUUUGGAAUUAAAGUAGGUCUGUUAAAGUG